Molecule: ribosomal RNA, 398 nt
Filed under: uncultured bacterium
Lineage: Bacteria
Description: partial 16S ribosomal RNA
Rfam family: Bacterial small subunit ribosomal RNA
Source: RNAcentral
GAAUCUUAGACAAUGGGGGAAACCCUGAUCUAGCCACGCCGCGUGAUCGAUGAAGGCCUUAGGGUUGUAAAGAUCUUUCAGCUGGGAAGAUAAUGACGGCACCAGCAGAAGAAGCCCCGGCUAACCCCGUGCCAGCAGCCGCGGUAAUACGGUGGGGGCCAGCGCUAUUCGGAUUUACUGGGCGUAACGCGCACGCAGGCGGAGCAGAAAGUUAGGGGUGAAAGCCCGGGGCUCAACCUCGGAACUGCCUCUAAAACUCCUGGUCUUGAGGUCGAGAGAGGUGAGUGGAAUUCCGAGUGUAGAGGUGAAAUUCAUAGAUAUUCGGAGGAACACCAGUGGCGAAGGCGGCUCACUAGCUCGAUACUGACGCUGAGGUGCGAAAGCGUGGGGAGCAAACA